RNAcentral lists this long non-coding RNA (483 nucleotides) under Mytilus galloprovincialis (Mediterranean mussel). Lineage: Eukaryota; Metazoa; Mollusca; Bivalvia; Mytilida; Mytilidae. The record is from RNAcentral.
AAAUCCUCCUAAAAUGUCAAAUAUACUGAGAACUAAAAGAUAUUUUGUCCAGUAAAGAAAUAUUAAUGUAGGUCAAAGUUUUCACUGACCAUGCUGUCUGGUCUAAUCAUUAUCUGUGUUUCUUUUUUGCAUUUAACACUUCCUUUUAAUGCUUAUAUACACAGUUCAUCAAAAGAAAUCAUAAUUUCACUGCAAAAUGUUAAAUAACAUACCCAUGAAAAAAAGCUUUUGCAGGGAAAAAAUUGACUAAAAUGUUUUCUUGAGAAUUCCCCUUCAGAGGUUGCAAAAUGUUCAUGUCAUUAAUAAAGGCGUCAUGAGUUGAUUUGAAGGUGCAACUUGCAGUAGUCAAGGUAGUUAAUAUUGUAAGUUCACAAAUUUUUGCAUGCAUUUAUUAUUUGAUUUUUGAAUAAUAAACAAAAAUAUGAGAUUAAUCAUCCAAAUAUUAGGAAAUACUACAUACAAAUAGUGCUUUCAAAAUUAAAA